CGGGCAUAUCGCCUUCAUAACACAAGUAAUAUUUAAAAUCACAACAACAAUGAAUUUGCAAGAAGUAAAAGGUACAAAAUCGCAGCACUGCAGGAUAAGUAAUUUAUCCAUAAACAAGAUGCAUCCUUACAAUUGAUGAAAUAAAAAGAAAGAACAUAAAAGGAGGUUUAAACAAGAAGAACAAACAAUAAUAAGUUGAGAAAGAACAUAAAAGGAGGUUUAAACAAGAAGAACAAACAAUAAUAAGUCGAGGGCAAAAAGGUAAAUACAAAAUUAAUUAGAAAAUAGUCGUGACAACAAUUCCUCAUUUACCUAUAAUGAAUGUAAGCCGCUGAUCAAGGGUAAUCUAAUGAAACAAAAUUAGGGAAGAGCCACACAUACAAAAAUAACAAUAUCUACUCCAACAGAAUAAGCAUUAAAAAAACAGGGUAAAAAUUCCAGAUAAAGAAUAAACCAACCACAAGACUGCAUAUAAACCACAGAGUAAGAAGAGAACUAUAGAUUGGCCUUCUUAACACAAUCUUAAGAAAACCAUAUAAAGCAAUUCAAACUUAAUUUAUUGCAAACAAUAACAAACCAAAUAAUUAAAUAAAAGAAAAAAGAAAGGCCAUAACAGUGAACCAAUCAACUAUCAAACAAGUCAUUCAGGUAGGAGAAGUGGGGGAAAAGGGAAAAACUUAUUCAAUUAGUGGAAAAGGG
This 699-nucleotide long non-coding RNA is filed under the name Elaeis guineensis (African oil palm). RNAcentral's name for it is "long non-coding RNA (EGUI_LNC003270)". Lineage: Eukaryota; Viridiplantae; Streptophyta; Magnoliopsida; Arecales; Arecaceae. The record is from RNAcentral.